AGAGUUUGAUCCUGGCUCAGGACGAACGCUGGCGGCGUGCCUAAUACAUGCAAGUAGAACGCUGAAGAGAGGAGCUUGCUCUUCUUGGAUGAGUUGCGAACGGGUGAGUAACGCGUAGGUAACCUGCCUUGUAGCGGGGGAUAACUAUUGGAAACGAUAGCUAAUACCGCAUAACAAUGGAUGACCCAUGUCAUUUAUUUGAAAGGGGCAAAUGCUCCACUACAAGAUGGACCUGCGUUGUAUUAGCUAGUAGGUGAGGUAACGGCUCACCUAGGCGACGAUACAUAGCCGACCUGAGAGGGUGAUCGGCCACACUGGGACUGAGACACGGCCCAGACUCCUACGGGAGGCAGCAGUAGGGAAUCUUCGGCAAUGGGGGCAACCCUGACCGAGCAACGCCGCGUGAGUGAAGAAGGUUUUCGGAUCGUAAAGCUCUGUUGGAAGUCAAGAACGAGUGUGAGAGUGGAAAGUUCACACUGUGACGGUAGCUUACCAGAAAGGGACGGCUAACUACGUGCCAGCAGCCGCGGUAAUACGGAAGGUCCGGGCGUUAUCCGGAUUUAUUGGGUUUAAAGGGAGCGUAGGCCGGAGAUUAAGCGUGUUGUGAAAUGUAGACGCUCAACGUCUGCACUGCAGCGCGGACUGGUUUCCUUGAGUACGCACAAAGUGGGCGGAAUUCGUGGUGUAGCGGUGAAAUGCUUAGAUAUCACGAAGAACUCCGAUUGCGAAGGCAGCUCACUGGAGCGCAACUGACGCUGAAGCUCGAAAGUGCGGGUAUCGAACAGGAUUAGAUACCCUGGUAGUCCACGCCGUAAACGAUGAGUGCUAGGUGUUGGAUCCUUUCCGGGAUUCAGUGCCGCAGCUAACGCAUUAAGCACUCCGCCUGGGGAGUACGACCGCAAGGUUGAAACUCAAAGGAAUUGACGGGGGCCCGCACAAGCGGUGGAGCAUGUGGUUUAAUUCGAAGCAACGCGAAGAACCUUACCAGGUCUUGACAUCCCGAUGCUAUUUCUAGAGAUAGAAAGUUACUUCGGUACAUCGGUGACAGGUGGUGCAUGGUUGUCGUCAGCUCGUGUCGUGAGAUGUUGGGUUAAGUCCCGCAACGAGCGCAACCCCUAUUGUUAGUUGCCAUCAUUCAGUUGGGCACUCUAGCGAGACUGCCGGUAAUAAACCGGAGGAAGGUGGGGAUGACGUCAAAUCAUCAUGCCCCUUAUGACCUGGGCUACACACGUGCUACAAUGGUUGGUACAACGAGUUGCGAGUCGGUGACGGCAAGCUAAUCUCUUAAAGCCAAUCUCAGUUCGGAUUGUAGGCUGCAACUCGCCUACAUGAAGUCGGAAUCGCUAGUAAUCGCGGAUCAGCACGCCGCGGUGAAUACGUUCCCGGGCCUUGUACACACCGCCCGUCACACCACGAGAGUUUGUAACACCCGAAGUCGGUGAGGUAACCUUUUGGAGCCAGCCGCCUAAGGUGGGAUAGAUGAUUGGGGUGAAGUCGUAACAAGGUAGCCGUAUCGGAAGGUGCGGCUG
RNAcentral lists this ribosomal RNA (1529 nucleotides) under human gut metagenome. RNAcentral describes it as "bacterial SSU rRNA". It matches the Rfam family "Bacterial small subunit ribosomal RNA". The record is from RNAcentral.